RNAcentral lists this ribosomal RNA (492 nucleotides) under uncultured bacterium. Its description in RNAcentral is "partial 16S ribosomal RNA". It matches the Rfam family "Bacterial small subunit ribosomal RNA", at positions 29 to 507 of the family's 1533-position model. The record is from RNAcentral.
AGUGAACGCUGGCGGUAGGCCUAACACAUGCAAGUCGAGCGGCAGCACAGUAAGAGCUUGCUCUUACGGGUGGCGAGUGGCGGACGGGUGAGGAAUACAUCGGAAUCUACUUUUUCGUGGGGGAUAACGUAGGGAAACUUACGCUAAUACCGCAUACGACCUACGGGUGAAAGCAGGGGAUCUUCGGACCUUGCGCGAUUGAAUGAGCCGAUGUCGGAUUAGCUAGUUGGCGGGGUAAAGGCCCACCAAGGCGACGAUCCGUAGCUGGUCUGAGAGGAUGAUCAGCCACACUGGAACUGAGACACGGUCCAGACUCCUACGGGAGGCAGCAGUGGGGAAUAUUGGACAAUGGGCGCAAGCCUGAUCCAGCCAUACCGCGUGGGUGAAGAAGGCCUUCGGGUUGUAAAGCCCUUUUGUUGGGAAAGAAAAGCGGCAGGUUAAUACCCCGCUGUUCUGACGGUACCCAAAGAAUAAGCACCGGCUAACUUCGUG